CAAUAUUGUUUAGUUGGAGACAGGGCCGACCCUAGGGCAGGUCAAACUGGGCGACCGCCCUAGGCCCCAGGCCUGGACCUUGUAUCGAUGUUCCAAUAGGGUGCAAAGAUGACUUUCUACAAUAUUAUAACAAGAAAAAUAAUUAAAUAGGUUAAUGAUGAGUUUUAUACACUGCUUAACGAAUAUAUCUAUAGAAAAUCAUUGCACGU
RNAcentral lists this long non-coding RNA (209 nucleotides) under Elaeis guineensis (African oil palm). RNAcentral's name for it is "long non-coding RNA (EGUI_LNC071629)". The record is from RNAcentral. Lineage: Eukaryota; Viridiplantae; Streptophyta; Magnoliopsida; Arecales; Arecaceae.